Amblyraja radiata (thorny skate) is the source of this 756-nucleotide long non-coding RNA. RefSeq lists it as uncharacterized. Lineage: Eukaryota; Metazoa; Chordata; Chondrichthyes; Rajiformes; Rajidae. The transcript is spliced from 2 exons. The record is from RefSeq and is a predicted model, not a curated record.
UUGAUCCAUUUUAGAAUAAGGCUGUAACGUAACAAAAUGUGGAUAAAGGGGUCUGAAUACUUUCAGAAUGCACUGCAUCUACAGUGCUCCAAAUGUGGCCUUGCCAACGCCAUGUACAGCUGGAACGUGACUGUACUCAACUUCUGUACUCAAUAUAGACACGAGGAACUGCAGAUGCAGGUUCAGAAUCAAAGACACAAAAGUCCUGUAGUAACUCAGUGGGUCGGGCAACAUCUCUGGAGAAUGAAUAGGCGACGAUUUAAGUUGAAGUCUGAAGAACGAUCCUGACCAUGUUCCGCAGAGAUGUUGCGUGACCCGCUGAGUUACUCCAGCACUUAGUGUAUUUUAUUCCUGUACUUAAUACCCUGACCUAUGAAGGAAAGCGUGCCAAACGCCUUCUUUACCACCCAAGAUGUUAAACCCAAAAGACUGCAAGAGGGGCUGGGGGGCUGUGACUGUCUCCAAGUGCGAGGUUAUCCUCAGAGAGGGUUGUUGGACCUGACCACCAGAGGAUAAAAGAUUGUUCUCGUGGAGUCAAUCCUUUCAGGAGGGCUCUUCCUGGGUGGGAAGGGAGACGUGUGUGUGUUUAUAUUUUUAAAGGAAGGUAUGGGUGGGAAGAAAUGAUGGGAGGGGUGUGAAUAUAUUUUUUGGAAACAGAUUUUUCAGACAUUGAAAGCUAGGAAGAGUGGUUUUGCUAUGUAACUGACUUUGUAUAUUUUACAGUUAUUUUAAAAAACAAACAUUUUGACUGUGAAA